Molecule: long non-coding RNA, 748 nt
Filed under: Marmota monax (woodchuck)
Lineage: Eukaryota; Metazoa; Chordata; Mammalia; Rodentia; Sciuridae
Source: RNAcentral
GCUAGGCAGGCACUUUACCACUGAGCUAUAUCCUCAGCCUAUAAUUUAAAAAUAUGAAAAAUGUGCUUUGUGAUUUACCAUUUAUUUUUAGGGUGAGAUAGGCUACUAGGCCUAUUUAUGUAAACCAAACAUUUUCAUAUUGCACAGACAACAAUUAAGUGCAUCUUCCUAGUUUCAAAUCCCGUUUUUCUACUGAUUUCCUUUUUUAAAAAAAUACUUCUUUUUUAGUUGUAGUUGGACACAAUACCUUUAUUUUACUUAUUUAUUUUUAUGUCAUGCUAAGAAUCAAACCCAGCCCCUCACACAUGCUAGGCAAGUACUCUACCUUUCCUUUUUAAAAAACAUUCUUAACAAGCCACAACUCCACUUAUAUGAAUUAAUUCAAGGCAAGAAAAAUUUUUAAAAUUAUAUUCAAGAGUUUUAUGAUACUACUUUCAUAGAACUAUCAUACGUGGCAGCAUUUUCACUUAAAAUGUGUACACAUUCAGCCAGAUGUGGUGGCAAUGCCUGUAAUCCCAGCAACUCAGGAGGCUGAGCCAGGAAGAACACAAGUUUGAAGCCAGCCUCAGCAACUCAGUGACUUAGCAAGACCAAAUAUAUACACACAUACAUCCCUGAUUUAUUUUGUGAUAUAAAACACUAAUUUGUUCCAAGUAGGCCAUGUUUCUAUGAUUUAUUGUCAAGUGUCACAAUAAAUAGCUGUCACAUUAUUUUGCCCUCCUGUCUCUUCUCCCUGCAUAGAAAGGGC